Molecule: ribosomal RNA, 254 nt
Filed under: uncultured bacterium
Lineage: Bacteria
Description: partial 16S ribosomal RNA
Rfam family: Bacterial small subunit ribosomal RNA
Source: RNAcentral
UACAGAGGGGGCAAGCGUUAUUCGGAAUUACUGGGCGUAAAGCGCACGUAGGCGGCUUUUUAAGUCAGGGGUGAAAUCCCGGGGCUCAACCCCGGAACUGCCCUUGAAACUGGAGAGCUAGAAUCUUGGAGAGGCGAGUGGAAUUCCGAGUGUAGAGGUGAAAUUCGUAGAUAUUCGGAAGAACACCAGUGGCGAAGGCGACUCGCUGGACAAGUAUUGACGCUGAGGUGACGAAAGCGUGGGGAGCAAACAGG